Molecule: ribosomal RNA, 279 nt
Filed under: uncultured bacterium
Lineage: Bacteria
Description: partial 16S ribosomal RNA
Rfam family: Bacterial small subunit ribosomal RNA
Source: RNAcentral
UGCCAGCCGCCGCGGUAAUACGAAGGGACCUAGCGUAGUUCGGAAUUAUUGGGCGUAAAGGGCGCGCAGGCGGUCUUGUCCGUCAGGUGUGAAAGCUCGGGGCUCAACCCCGGAAGUGCACUUGAAACAGCAAGACUUGAAUACGGUAGAGGAGAGAGGAGUUCCUGGUGUAGAGGUGAAAUUCGUAGAUAUCAGGAGGAACACCAAUGGCGAAGGCAUCUCUCUGGGCCGAUAUUGACGCUGAGGCGCGAAGGCGUGGGUAGCGAACGGGAUUAGAUA